AAUGGAUAAAUAACAAAGCUUAGAUUUGUGUUAGACUGUUAGUCUUUUAACAGUGUUAUAGAAUAAAGAAAUAAAAGAGAGUACAAACCUGUUUUAACAUGGAAGAGGAUUAAAUAAUGACUUAUUUAUGAAAAAGCCGAAGGACAGACGAUAACGUGACGUACUGUACAAGUUUACGCAAAUGACGUAGAACCCGGAAGUAAACGUUCGCCUCAUCAGCUGACAGCACAUCCAGCGUGUGAGCAACAAACAAACAAACAAACAUGAUUUACAGUAAUAAUCACUUACAUGUUCAAAUAAUGGCGCAGAAAAUCGGCGAAGCUCACGAGCACAUCGCCAGGGCGGAGAAAUAGAUGAGUUUUAUGAAGUGGAAGUCUGAUUAUGACAGUGCAGCCUUCAGAAUAUGCCAUAGCAGCGGCUGCCUUUAAAAGUAGCUGGAACUGGCAAAGAGGUGUGUCUACAGGAGGCCGUAGUGCACGCAAAGAACACGGCUGCUUUUAAAAGUAGCUGGAACAGGCAGAGAGUUGUACCUACAGGAGGCCGUAGUGCACGCAAACAACAUUUCGUAUGUUUCCUUGACUCAUCAUCCAGACUUUUUCAUGGCGCAAAAAAGCAGCGAAGCUCAUUGGCAAAGCAUCAAGAGUUGUCGCUAAUGAACUGAAGAUGAACUCAGCAGAGCAGCAGCCUGCUGGACCACAUCAAAAGCUGGAAACUUCUUUGGGAUGCCAUUUCGUUUCAAGCUCUACGACUGAUGAACUCUUCAUUUCAGAGUACGCAAAACUGCCCAUCAGCCUUAAACAGCCUGAAGGAAGAGAAGCAAAAACACCCCCGCACACCCAGCACUUCUGCAUCUGCUCAGACGGUGGACAAGGACCAAGAGGACCAGUCUGCUGGAGACCUCUCUUAAAAACACACACACGCGCACACCUCGCUCCACUGUUCUCCUCUGAUCACUGCUCCUGCGUUCAAACACACAAAUAAAAAGUUCCUCUUCCAAAAUCAUCUAUGCUACAUCGUCCUCUCUCAACUGUCUAUAUUGAUUCAGGUUUGCCUUUAAACUAAUCAUCUAAUAUUCAGUUGUUUCUAUGCUUGGCCAAAACCAAACCUGUCAAACGGACCUUCUCGCCGACACUUCAACACUGCGCAUCGCUUUAAUUCACAUCACUAUAAGCACACGCUUCAAACUAAUGCAUAUCACUGCUGAGCGCUGUCAAAACUGCCUGCCUACUCAAAGCACUGAAUAUACAACUUGGAACGGUUCAAUUACCCUAAUAUAACUUCAAUUCUUUUCUUGCCAUCAUUUCAAUCAUGACAAACAAACACACUAACCUGUCUACUUUCUUUUUUUAAAGCAACUAAUUCCUUUUACUGCUGUACUACUACUACUACUACUACUACUACUACUACUACUACUACUACAGCAUUUCUUCCUCAAUUGUGUUCAUUUAAUCUUCCUUUGUGCAAUUCAUUAACAACGCACCGUCACUUUACAUCAACUAAAAUAUUGAUUGUGUACACGCAUAUACAUACUGUAUACACACACACACACACACACACACACACACACACACAUAACUAAUAUACAGUUGAAGUCAGAAUUACCAAUUAUUGACUUUUAUUUUUAUUUGACAUUUUUUUAACAAUUUCCUCAAACAAUGUUUAAUACAACCAAGACAUUUUCACAGUGUCUCAUUUUAUUUAGUUUUUUUUUUCUGUAAAAACUGUAAUUUCUUUUCUUUUGCCUAGGAUAAAACCUCCUUAAUGUUUUUUUUUUUUUUUUUUUAACCUUUUACAGUCCAAAUUAUUAACCCCUUUCAGCUAUAUAUUUCUUUGAAAGCCUUCAAAGCAAACCAUCGUUAUACAAUAACUUGCCUAAUGAACCCAGUAAAGCCUUUAAAUGCCACUUUAAGCUCUAUAGAAGCCUCUUCAAUAAGAUCUAGUCAAUUAUUUACUGUCAUCAUGACAAAGAGAAAAUUAGGGAUGACUUAUUAAAACUGUUACGCUUACAAAUGUGUCAAACACAAAUUGAGUAACAAAAUACACAACUAGGAGGACUAAUAAUUCACACUUCAACUGUAUAUGUGUGUGUAUGUAUAUAUAUAUAUAUAUACACACACAAAUAAAUGCACAUCACACACACACACACACACACACACACACACAACCAUAUGCAUAUACAAUCACAAGCUUACACCCAUACAUAUGCAAUCAUUUAUUCGUACAUACACAAACACUCAUACACACGUACUGUAGCGAGCACACUGAUGCCACGUCGCCCUUGUCACAAAUUCACCCCAGCUGGAACCUCAUCAGCACCGGAUCGCUCACAGCUGGACCUCAUCAGCACCGGAUCGCUCACAGCUGGACCUCAUCAGCCAGGGAGAGAUAUAAGCCAGCCCAGGAGGGACACGAGCUUCAUUUACACACGACUCCCUGCGCUAACGCUUAUGUCUCUCCUACAGCAGAGUCCAGCUUGUGAACGAUCCAGCACCAGACCUCUUACCAUCCUUCACCACCUCCCCGGAGCACUCGAGCACGCACCUCAUGAAGAGCACCAUUUAUUCACGUAUUUCACUUGUAAAUAAAGCACCCUCCGGCGACUUGUUUGUAACUCAA
This is a non-coding RNA of Danio rerio (zebrafish), 2616 nucleotides long. NCBI's taxonomy places the organism in Eukaryota, Metazoa, Chordata, Actinopteri, Cypriniformes, Danionidae. The record is from RefSeq and is a predicted model, not a curated record.